AAGGAAUUAGUUAACUUAAAUAACAUUAGAAUGUCAAACUAAAAUAACUUCAAUUAAAGUAUUCCUUG
Molecule: transfer RNA, 68 nt
Filed under: Colemania sphenarioides
Lineage: Eukaryota; Metazoa; Arthropoda; Insecta; Orthoptera; Pyrgomorphidae
Description: tRNA-Asp
Source: RNAcentral